UCCAGACUCCUACGGGAGGCAGCAGUGGGGAAUAUUGCACAAUGGGGGAAACCCUGAUGCAGCGACGCCGCGUGAGUGAAGAAGUAUUUCGGUAUGUAAAGCUCUAUCAGCAGGGAAGAAAAUGACGGUACCUGACUAAGAAGCCCCGGCUAACUACGUGCCAGCAGCCGCGGUAAUACGUAGGGGGCAAGCGUUAUCCGGAUUUACUGGGUGUAAAGGGAGCGUAGGUGGCAUGGUAAGCCAGAAGUGAAAACCCGGGGCUCAACCCCGCGGAUUGCUUUUGGAACUAUCAGGCUGGAGUGCUGGAGGGGUAAGCGGAAUUCCUAGUGUAGCGGUGAAAUGCGUAGAUAUUAGGAGGAACACCGGUGGCGAAGGCGGCUUACUGGACAGAAACUGACACUGAGGCUCGAAAGCGUGGGGAGCAAACAGGAUUAGAUACCCGGGUAC
Molecule: ribosomal RNA, 447 nt
Filed under: uncultured bacterium
Lineage: Bacteria
Description: bacterial SSU rRNA
Rfam family: Bacterial small subunit ribosomal RNA
Source: RNAcentral